GAUCCUGGCUCAGAACGAACGCUGGCGGCAGGCUUAACACAUGCAAGUUGAACGGGAUUGCUAAGUGCUUGCACGGAGCAAUGAGAGUAGCGCACUGGUGAGUAACACGUGGGAACAUGCCUUUUGGUGGGGGACAACAGAGGGAAACUUCUGCUAAUACCGCAUAAGCCCUAAGGGGGAAAGAUUAAUUGCCGAAAGAUUGGCCCGCGGAAGAUUAGGUAGUUGGUGGGGUAAAGGCCUACCAAGCCGACGAUCUAUAGCUGGUCUGAGAGGACGAACAGCCACAUUGGAACUGAGACACGGUCCAGACUCCUACGGGAGGCAGCAGUGAGGAAUAUUGGGCAAUGGAGGAAACUCUGACCCAGCCAUGCCGCGUGAGUGAAGAAGGUUUUCGAAUUGUAAAGCUCUUUCGGAUACGAGGAUGAUGACGGUAGUAUCUAAAGAAGCCCCGGCAAACUUCGUGCCAGCCGCCGC
RNAcentral lists this ribosomal RNA (474 nucleotides) under uncultured bacterium. RNAcentral's name for it is "bacterial SSU rRNA". It matches the Rfam family "Bacterial small subunit ribosomal RNA", at positions 15 to 518 of the family's 1533-position model. The record is from RNAcentral.